This 497-nucleotide ribosomal RNA is filed under the name uncultured bacterium. RNAcentral's name for it is "partial 16S ribosomal RNA". It matches the Rfam family "Bacterial small subunit ribosomal RNA", at positions 28 to 507 of the family's 1533-position model. The record is from RNAcentral.
GACGAACGCUGGCGGCGCGCCUAAUACAUGCAAGUCGAACGAACAGAAGAGAGCUUUGCUCCUUUGACGUUAGCCGCACGCGGGAGUGAAACAUGAGGAACACCCCUCUAAAAGACUGGGAUAACUUCGGAAAAACGGCUAAAAUACCAGAAGAUCUCUUCAACCGCACGGUUCGAUAGUAAAAGACGAAUUUGCUGUCACUUAUAGAUGCAUCCGCGCCGCAUUAGCUAGUUGGUAAGGUCAAGGCUUACCAAGGCAACGAUGGGUAGCCGACCUGAGAGGGGGAUCGGCCACACCGGAACUGAGACACGAUCGAGACUCCUACGGGAGGCACCAGUAGGGAAUCUUCAGCAGAGGGCGAAGGGCGGACGGAGCAACGCCGCGUGAGACAUGAAGGUCUUCGGAUCGUAAAACUGUGUUAUUAGGUAAGAACAAAUGUGUAAGUAACUGUGCACGUCUAGACGGUACCUAAACAGAAAGGUACGGCUAACUUCGUG